This 317-nucleotide ribosomal RNA is filed under the name uncultured eukaryote. Its description in RNAcentral is "partial 18S ribosomal RNA". It matches the Rfam family "Eukaryotic small subunit ribosomal RNA", at positions 1470 to 1796 of the family's 1831-position model. The record is from RNAcentral.
CCCUUAGAUGCUCUGGGCCGCACGCGCGCUACACUGGUCGAUGCAACGAGUUUCUUUCCUUGGCCGACAGGCCUGGGCAAUCUUUGAACGCUGAUCGUGAUGGGGAUAGACUUUUGCAAUUUUUGGUCUUCAACGAGGAAUUCCUAGUAAACGCAAGUCAUCAACUUGCAUUGAUUACGUCCCUGCCCUUUGUACACACCGCCCGUCGCACCUACCGAUUGAAUGGUCCGGUGAAGCCUCCGGAUUGGCGUGCACCCUCGGGUGCUGCCGAGAAGUUGGCUAAACCUUACCAUUUAGAGGAAGGUGAAGUCGUAACA